GUGGGGAAUAUUGGACAAUGGGGGGAACCCUGAUCCAGCCAUGCCGCGUGUGUGAAGAAGGCCUUUUGGUUGUAAAGCACUUUAAGCGAGGAGGAGGCUACUCUAGUUAAUACCUAGAGAUAGUGGACGUUACUCGCAGAAUAAGCACCGGCUAACUCUGUGCCAGCAGCCGCGGUAAUACAGAGGGUGCAAGCGUUAAUCGGAUUUACUGGGCGUAAAGCGCGCGUAGGUGGCCAAUUAAGUCAAAUGUGAAAUCCCCGAGCUUAACUUGGGAAUUGCAUUCGAUACUGGUUGGCUAGAGUAUGGGAGAGGAUGGUAGAAUUCCAGGUGUAGCGGUGAAAUGCGUAGAGAUCUGGAGGAAUACCGAUGGCGAAGGCAGCCAUCUGGCCUAAUACUGACACUGAGGUGCGAAAGCAUGGGGAGCAAACAGGAUUAGAAACCCUAGUAGUCC
This 451-nucleotide ribosomal RNA is filed under the name uncultured bacterium. RNAcentral describes it as "partial 16S ribosomal RNA". It matches the Rfam family "Bacterial small subunit ribosomal RNA", at positions 354 to 796 of the family's 1533-position model. The record is from RNAcentral.